GAAAUUUUCUUAUUUCACAAUUCUUUAACUUCACGAGCUAGAAUACGAAUCAAUUCUUCCUCAUAUGUCAUAUCAGACUUAAUUUCGAUCUCUGACGGAUUAAUCACAUGUGAGGGAUCAGAUUGAUAUCUAUGGAGCAUCGAAACAUGGAAUACAUUAUGGAUCAUUUCUAACUUAGGUGGCAACAAUAGCCUGCAUGCAACCAGCCCAAUAUGCUUUAUAAUCUCAUAUGGCCCAAUAAAUCUCGGACUCAAUUUGCCUUUACGAUAGAAUUUGAGUAUUUUCUUCC
This 289-nucleotide long non-coding RNA is filed under the name Gossypium barbadense (sea-island cotton). RNAcentral describes it as "long non-coding RNA (GBAR_LNC000815)". Lineage: Eukaryota; Viridiplantae; Streptophyta; Magnoliopsida; Malvales; Malvaceae. The record is from RNAcentral.